This 364-nucleotide ribosomal RNA is filed under the name uncultured beta proteobacterium. RNAcentral describes it as "bacterial SSU rRNA". It matches the Rfam family "Bacterial small subunit ribosomal RNA", at positions 242 to 598 of the family's 1533-position model. The record is from RNAcentral. Lineage: Bacteria; Pseudomonadati; Pseudomonadota; Betaproteobacteria.
UACCUACUUGGUGAGGUAAAGGCUUACCAAGGCUNCGAUCAGUAGCUGGUCUGAGAGGACGACCAGCCACACUGGGACUGAGACACGGCCCAGACUCCUACGGGAGGCAGCAGUGGGGAAUUUUGGACAAUGGGGGCAACCCUGAUCCAGCCAUGCCGCGUGAGUGAAGAAGGCCUUCGGGUUGUAAAGCUCUUUCAGCCGGAACGAAAAGGUUACGGUUAAUACCCGUGACUAAUGACGGUACCGGAAGAAGAAGCACCGGCUAACUACGUGCCAGCAGCCGCGGUAAUACGUAGGGUGCGAGCGUUAAUCGGAAUUACUGGGCGUAAAGCGUGCGCAGGCGGUUUUGAUAGUCAGAUGUGAU